CCAUUCUUAGAUUGGUGGAGGAGGUGCCAUUUUCGAGGUACGUAUAUCCCAUUUGUACGAAAGGGCCCCUACGAAAGAGCAACUUCGUCGGCUAUAACCCCCUUGUUGCUGGAUGGGGAGCAUUAAGAUAUAGACGACCACGACCUAAUGCAUUAAUGGAAGUACAAAUGCCAGUGAUUAAGAACGCCGAAUGCAAAAUAGCUUAUUCCAAAUUUCCUAAUGCACUUGAUAUCACUGAUGGUAUAAUAUGCGCCGAACAUGCUCAGGGUGGAGAGGAUUCUUGUACGGCUGACCGCGGCGGUCCGCUGCUGAUACAACAUGAAUUAACCUCGUAUUUAAUAGGUAUUGUGUCUUAUGCUUAUAAGUGCGGCACAGCUGGGUAUCCCAGCGUUUACACUAGGGUCACAUCGUACCUUGACUUCAUUCUCCAAGCGAUGCAAUAAUAUGAUAUUACUGUUCCAUAAAUAUCAUUGUGUAAAAAACGUAAAGUUGGAUUUUCUUAUUGUGGAGAUAAGAAACAGCUCAAAUUUACAUUGUUUUGUACGUUACAAAUUAUAGGCUUAAAAUGUACGAAAUGUAACUUUGAAACGACACUAAUUUUUUACGCACGAUAAACCUCCACGACUUAGAUUAUAGAUUCCUAUACGACUCUCAGUAAAAAUUUAUCCGCACUCCAGAUAGUUAAAACUUCUGUCGACCGUAUUGAUCCAUCUGCACUCUUCGUAUGACGUCAAUAUCUGUUCAGUGCUGCUGCGCAGGUUUCUUUGUGUUACGUCAAUUCGUUUGUGACCGUUGCGCGAGUAAUGGCGCUUUGCAAUGGUGAUUUGCAGGAAAACAAUGCAGGAUGCUGUGAUUCGUUUCUUGUGGUCGGAGGUUAUGUUUGAUGCCUAUAUUUAUCAAAGAUUUAAUGCACAUUAUGGAGAAAGUGUUUUGUCACGAAGUGUGUUUGAAUGGGCACAAAAGUUCAAAGAAGAUCGCACAAGUGUUAUGAAAAAACAGCUGGACGCCCGUCCACAUCCACGAUGACAACAUUGAACGUGCUCAUGAACUUAUGCUCUAUGGAAUAGACGAGUGACACUGGAUAAUGUGGCAAAUCAUUUGCAAAUCAGCCACGGCUCUGCUUAUGCAAUAGUGCACGACAGAUUUGGAUUUUAAAAAGUUUAUGCGAGAUGGAUGCCGAAAAAGCUGAUGAAAAGGUGAAGACGACGAUGCAUUCGUGGUUCGCAGCUCAGCCCAAAACAUUUUUUAAUGAGAAAAUACGAAGGUCCUUCGGCAAAUGGACAAAGUGUAUACAGAAAUCGAGUGAUUAUGUCAAAAAAUGAUGUAUGUCUUUUUUGACAAUUGCUUAAAAUAAAUUCUACACCGACAGAGCGGGCUGUUAAUCUAGAGGCUGGAGUACAAAGAAGUGGCACAAUGAUGUGGGCUGAUGACAUUUAUAAUUAUCAAGGAAUCACCCCUACAUUCGCUCAGAAUUUUAAUGAAACUGUCCCUUGGGAAGGAAGAACUGAUACCUUGAUAUCACGGUUUGUACAUCCUAUAUAUACGACAAAUUUUAGAACAUUAUAUAACGAAGAACCAGAUCGUCGUGGCCAUGUGAUGUGAAUAAAAGGACUUGCAUCUGAUGAUAUUUUUAUAAUGUUAGAUAACAUAACUAAGCAUCUUCACAGUAAGAUAGGAUGACAUGGUUUACAUGAUCUUAAUGUUGUUCACUUGAGUGAUGAUAUUAUAAGGAAAAGUGUAAUAUCACAGGAUAUUUAUGUUUAGUAACCAGUAAUUCAGAGAUUGGUAUUCAUGGUUACUAUAACGAGGCUGUAGAAACGCACCCUUUCUUCUUUGCAAAUGGUCCUGUAUUUAUGUCUAAGCCGAAACUGGAACCUCUGAAUAAUUUAGAUUUAUUCUUGUUAUUUUCUAAAAUACUUAUCUACAGUAUACCAUAAGGAAUGAUACCGUAUCGCACCUAAGCAAGUGCCUUAAGAAACAUCAACAGGAUAUCACAGUAAUCCCUUAUCGACUGAUAUUUGUAGCCACUACAAUAUCUAUGACACUGGUAGUAAUUAUAAGAACAAUAACGAUGUUCUAUAAGAGGAAAUGAUGAUUAGGAACAAAAACUUACAGGAGAUAUCAUGCGGUGGAUGGAUAAUAUGUAAAAAAUAUUAAGCAGUAUAUGAAUUUUCAUAUUGCGUAGAGAUAACAAAAUGAAUUUUAAAAAAUGUCGACAUGGUAAUAAGAAAUAGCAUCAUGACAAAGAAUAUAUAAACACAGUUUCAUUUUUUAUAAAUAAAAAUUUGUUGUUCCAGAUUUUGAAAUAUAGUGAAACGUUUAAUUAGUAUCUUAAUAUCUUUAAAUAAUUAUUAUUUUAGAAUCAAUUGUAAUUGUAUCAUACGUACUUUUGAAUUCGUGCAAGAACAUAUGUUAUUUUGAAGUAGUUAUUAUUAGGAAAUUGUUAGACGCGAACAGUAUGCGAAAAGUUAGUAUGUAGUGUAAUAAUUAUCAAUCAAAACACAAGAAUUAAAUUCUUUAGGAAAAAAUUUCCGGAAUUUCUUAUUUACAUGAUUAUAAAGAAAUCCAUAAUAAAAAGGAGCUGCUUUCUAAUACUUCUCUUCCUUGUAAUGCCUAUGUUAAUAAUAACGAGGUUCGACUUUUUGUUUAUAGAGGGAUACUGGAAAAUUUGAAAGUACAGUACCAUUGGGAAGAAAAUCACGAUAUUGAAAACGAUAUUUGCAAAUUGAACAAUAUUCC
Bombus huntii is the source of this 2739-nucleotide RNA transcript. It is a transcript of the gene named venom serine protease Bi-VSP-like, with no coding region annotated. The transcript has 11 exons. The record is from RefSeq and is a predicted model, not a curated record. NCBI's taxonomy places the organism in Eukaryota, Metazoa, Arthropoda, Insecta, Hymenoptera, Apidae.